Molecule: ribosomal RNA, 580 nt
Filed under: Salmonella enterica subsp. enterica serovar Infantis
Lineage: Bacteria; Pseudomonadati; Pseudomonadota; Gammaproteobacteria; Enterobacterales; Enterobacteriaceae
Also listed under: 1 other name
Description: partial 23S ribosomal RNA
Rfam family: Bacterial large subunit ribosomal RNA
Source: RNAcentral
AGACCCGAAACCCGGUGAUCUAGCCAUGGGCAGGUUGAAGGUUGGGUAACACUAACUGGAGGACCGAACCGACUAAUGUUGAAAAAUUAGCGGAUGACCUGUGGCUGGGGGUGAAAGGCCAAUCAAACCGGGAGAUAGCUGGUUCUCCCCGAAAGCUAUUUAGGUAGCGCCUCGUGAAUUCAUCUCCGGGGGUAGAGCACUGUUUCGGCUAGGGGGCCAUCCCGGCUUACCAACCCGAUGCAAACUGCGAAUACCGGAGAAUGUUAUCACGGGAGACACACGGCGGGUGCUAACGUCCGUCGUGAAGAGGGAAACAACCCAGACCGCCAGCUAAGGUCCCAAAGUCAUGGUUAAGUGGGAAACGAUGUGGGAAGGCCCAGACAGCCAGGAUGUUGGCUUAGAAGCAGCCAUCAUUUAAAGAAAGCGUAAUAGCUCACUGGUCGAGUCGGCCUGCGCGGAAGAUGUAACGGGGCUAAACCAUGCACCGAAGCUGCGGCAGCGACACUCAGGUGUUGUUGGGUAGGGGAGCGUUCUGUAAGCCUGUGAAGGUGUGUCGUGAGGCAUGCUGGAGGUAUCAGAA